Molecule: ribosomal RNA, 253 nt
Filed under: uncultured bacterium
Lineage: Bacteria
Description: partial 16S ribosomal RNA
Rfam family: Bacterial small subunit ribosomal RNA
Source: RNAcentral
UACGAAGGUCCCAAGCGUUAUCCGGAUUUAUUGGGUUUAAAGGGUGCGUAGGCGGGUUGUUAAGUCAGUGGUGAAAGCUCCGAGCCUAACUCGGAAAUUGCCAUUGAUACUGACGAUCUUGAGUACAUUUGAGGAGGGCGGAAUGUGUCAUGUAGCGGUGAAAUGCUUAGAUAUGACACAGAACACCGAUUGCGUAGGCAGCUCUCUAAACUGUAACUGACGCUGAGGCACGAAAGCGUGGGGAGCAAACAGG